This is a long non-coding RNA of Oreochromis niloticus (Nile tilapia), 1643 nucleotides long. RefSeq lists it as uncharacterized. The record is from RefSeq and is a predicted model, not a curated record. NCBI's taxonomy places the organism in Eukaryota, Metazoa, Chordata, Actinopteri, Cichliformes, Cichlidae. The transcript is spliced from 5 exons.
GGUUUGCUGAGAAAUCAAACAAAAGCUGUCUUUCAAAGAAAAAUACGCUGUAGUAUAGGAAAAACUGUACAAAGUACUGCUGAGGGUGAGAUUAGAGUAAGAGAGUUUCAUUACUAAUCGAAGUAAGGAGUUCCUGGUUCACAAGCGAAAAACGAGACGUCAGAUGAAACCAGAUUCUCAAUAUGACGGUAUACCAAACUUUGAUCUUCCUCAUCUUCAUCACGCUGCAGGAUGGAAACACUGGUUUUCCCAUUCUUACGGCAACGGAAGGAGGGCCCAUCACAAUCAAAUGCACAUGUUCUUCUCCUGGACAAAAGAAACUGUUCUGUAAGAAAAAUGGCGAAACAACUACUCUCUUUCAAACAACUAAUGACAUGGCUCAGAGGGGGAGAUACAGCAUUCACAACGAUUUUCUUUAUCUGAGCAUCACACAGCUGAAAAACUCAGACUCAGGCAUGUACAACUGCACUUUGAAUGAAUCGGAGAAUCUGGAGUCAUGCUGUAAUUUUCAGAUUGUUGUCACAGACUUGCCCAAGUUUAAAAAGGAGGCGUUGUGGGUUUUGGUGUUGCCCGUAGCUCUGUUUCUCGUUUGUAAAAAGAAGACAGAGAUCUCUGAUCGUCUGAACAGACGGAGAAACCCCGACCACAACACGACUGAGGUUACACUUUAUGAGAAUUGUUCUCCAGUCUCCACACCAGAUGACCCGAUCUAUCAGAGCCUUGAUCCAGCCAGCAGGGACCUGGAUCAAAUCUACUCUUCACUCACACAGAUACAACAACACAAAUGAUACUGUCUAAAUUUGAAUAUGGAUUUUAUACCAUAAAGGUUGAUUUUGCAACCAGAGAGACAAAAACUGAUACCAUGGAUUGUGCCUUCAAACUCCUCCUUUUUCUUCCCUUUAAAGAAAAAAACUAUAAAGAUUUGAAUGUGCCAGUGAGUUUCUUUUGGGUUUUCUCUUUUCUUGUAAUGUACAAAAUCCUCAGUUAACUUAAAAGCACCACCUGGUGGUGAUGCAGCAGUACUCACAAAUAUUGUAUUAUAUCCUUUCAAACUGAACUCUUACGUUUCAAAAUGUUGAUGAACAGCACUUUGUUUGUAUGUCUUCAGUGACUCUGGCAACAACAUAAACUGCAUAUUGGUAAGUUUAAGGACUUCAAAGUUUUAGAACACAAUUAAAAUUAAACUGAAAUCAAAUAUAAAAUACCAUAUUGUAUUUGGGUCUAUCAUGAAAUUUGAAAUAUCAUAUUUCCAGCAUUAAUACUGUAAAACAAAGCACCAAAAGAGAAAUUUGAACUAGGAUGAACCAAAGAUUGGCAGGAAAACAUGCUAUACCCACCAUGCUAACCAAGCCUACCUUGGAUCUGAGCAAGAGACGGAAAACUGAAGCCAUUCUGACUUAGACGUUGCCCAGAUUAACAAGGUCCGGGUCAGGUGUUGAGGAAUCGGGACACACCGAUAAGAAGUGGGCUUCUGGAACAAGAUGGCACAAGUCGCCAAUAGAUGAGAAGAGGGCGCUGUUGGAAUGCUACCAUGCAAGUAACCCCAGCAGAAGGGGUUAAAUGAAGAGGAUGUGGGACCUAUGGAAUCUUCAAUACCUAGCAUCCAGUCUGACGGUCCAACUAGUAGCAUUUUCACUUGGGGC